GAUGUGCUGGUACAAGCGUGUAGGGAGUGACCUUAGGCAAAUCCGGGGUCACAAUUCUGAGGCGUGAUGUGGGGUCCCAACACAGGGACGAAGGUAUCGAUGCCAUGCUUCCAGGAAAAUCUUCUAAGCUUCAGAUAGCAGUUGACCGUACCGUAAACCGACACAGGUGGGAAGGUUGAGAAUACCAAGGCGCUUGAGAGAACUCGGGUGAAGGAACUAGGCAAAAUGGUACCGUAACUUCGGGAGAAGGUACGCCCUUGCUGGUGAUGAGACUUGCUCUCUGAGCUGGUGGGGGCCGCAGUAGCCAGGCCGCUGCGACUGUUUAUUAAAAACACAGCACUCUGCAAACACGUAUGUGGACGUAUAGGGUGUGACGCCUGCCCGGUGCCGGAAGGUUAAAUGAUGCGGUUAGCGCAAGCGAAGCUGUUGAUUGAAGCCCCGGUAAACGGCGGCCGUAACGAUAACGGUCCUAAGGUAGCGAAAUUCCUUGUCGGGUAAGUUCCGACCUGCACGAAUGGCGUAACGAUGGCGGCGCUGUCUCCACCCGAGACUCAGUGAAAUUGAAAUCGCUGUUAAGAUGCAGCGUAACCGCGGCUAGACGGAAAGACCCCGUGCACCUUUACUAUAGCUUCACACUGAACUUUGACUGGGUUUGUGUAGGAUAGGUGGGAGACUUUGAAGCCGGAACGCUAGUUCUGGUGGAGUCAACCUUGAAAUACCACCCUAACGUAGUUGAAGUUCUAACCUAGGCCCGUGAUCCGGGUCGGGGACAGUGUGUGGUGGGUAGUUUGACUGGGGCGGUCUCCUCCCAAAGAGUAACGGAGGAGCACGAAGGUGGGCUAAUCACGGUCGGACAUCGUUUUUUGUGCAAUGGCAUAAGCCCGCUUAACUGCGAGAUCGACGGAUCGAGCAGGUACGAAAGUAGGUCAUAGUGAUCCGGUGGUUCUGUAUGGAAGGGCCAUCGCUCAACGGAUAAAAGGUACGCCGGGGAUAACAGGCUGAUACCGCCCAAGAGUUCAUAUCGACGGCGGUGUUUGGCACCUCGAUGUCGGCUCAUCACAUCCUGGGGCUGUAGCCGGUCCCAAGGGUAUGGCUGUUCGCCAUUUAAAGUGGUACGCGAGCUGGGUUUAGAACGUCGUGAGACAGUUCGGUCCCUAUCUGUCGUGGUCGUUAGAGAUUUGAGGGAAGCUGCUCCUAGUACGAGAGGACCGGAGUGGACGAACCCCUGGUGUUCCGGUUGUCACGCCAGUGGCAUUGCCGGGUAGCUAUGUUCGGAAGGGAUAACCGCUGAAAGCAUCUAAGCGGGAAGCCCCUCCCAAGAUUAGAUCUCUCAACCCUCGAGGUUGUAAGGGCCCUUGUAGACUACAAGGUUGAUAGGCUGGGUGUGGAAGCGCAGUAAUGCGUGAAGCUAACCAGUACUAAUUGCCCGAGUGACUUGGUCGA
This 1443-nucleotide ribosomal RNA is filed under the name metagenome. RNAcentral's name for it is "bacterial LSU rRNA". It matches the Rfam family "Bacterial large subunit ribosomal RNA", at positions 1501 to 2925 of the family's 2925-position model. The record is from RNAcentral.